UGUAUUCACUACUGUAAGUUGCUCUGGAUAAGAGCGUCUGCUAAAUGAUGUAAA
Salmo salar (Atlantic salmon) is the source of this 54-nucleotide non-coding RNA. The record is from Rfam. Lineage: Eukaryota; Metazoa; Chordata; Actinopteri; Salmoniformes; Salmonidae.